CCCCCUCCCAACGACGUCAACAUCAGGCAAGUCAGAUGGCAAGAAAGGUUCAGCAGACAGCGAUAUUAGUGCAGCGCGCGGACGAGAUGGCUAAAAAAGGCUGACGGUUGGCAGGAUCAUAAUUGCACCGUACCUAGGCCAGUGUACCUGCGAGAAUUUUGAAGCGUCCCCUCGUACCGCUCCAAUUCGAAAAGACUCCGGCACGCGCACAUUUAAUGCCAAAAUAUUUGGAGGCGGCAGUGCGCAGGAUUCGAAGGGACGGUUUCGGCUGUGCCCAUCUCUCUCUCUGUACUUCCUUCGUUUGAAAUUCAAACUCGAAAGUAGGGGGACUGGUGUUGGGUAUAAAAUACCCACAGCCGAAGUCCUCAGUGGAAUCGAC
RNAcentral lists this long non-coding RNA (379 nucleotides) under Elaeis guineensis (African oil palm). RNAcentral describes it as "long non-coding RNA (EGUI_LNC029593)". The record is from RNAcentral. Lineage: Eukaryota; Viridiplantae; Streptophyta; Magnoliopsida; Arecales; Arecaceae.